CAGCGAAGUCCUGUAGGACAAGGGGGCAUGCACAGGAGCAGAGGAGCCACACGUGAUGUGUGUGGCUGCCGUUCCCUGCCGCCCCAUUCACAUAAUCUUCUCCAUGCCCCUGGGGAGCCAUGCUGUGGGAUGUGCAGGAAACUCAGCAUGCUGUGAGUAGAGGCAGGGUUGUUAGUCAGUGACUGAGUGAGCGGGGCACUAACCAUCUGGAGAGGCCUCACUUUCCACUGAAACCAGAAUGCGCUUGUACACAGAAAGAAGGCAAUGACAUUUGAAGAGACACAAAUGACUGAGGAGCCCUGUUGUAUCCUCUCUAAUUGGAGUUACUUCCCUGUGCUAACCGACCCCUGUGUUGAGAUGACAUGAAAGGAAAGGGCAGGACACUAUGGCCACAGUGCCCUGAGGGUGCCCAAUCUCGUCUCAGAAGCUAAGCAGGGCCUGGCCUCAUUAGUACUUGUAUGGAACAAGGAAAGGGGAAGAGAGAGCAGCCUAUAGCUCCUGUCCUUUCAGUCCUUCCUUAGUGUCCAUGAUCCCAAGGUAGAGAGUGUUGCUGGAGUGUGUGGGUGUCAGGAAGUGAGAUAGAAAGAGCUGAGCUAGUUUUGUGCAGCGUAUCUACUGGUUUAGCAAGAAUGAAAUACAUACACAUGGAUGAGCUAUGGAAUGUGAAUUGUGUAAUUGUGUUGAUUCUACAUAUGAGGUCAAUGCUAAUAUUUUCAUUUAUACCUUGCGUCCUACAAUAUAAAAACAAAUGGUAAAAAGUCACGAUAAUUUAAAUUUAUUUUUUAUUUUAUUUUAUCUUAUUUUUUUUAGAUGGAGUCUCGCUCUGUCACCCAGGCUGGAGUGCAAUGGCAUAAUCUUGUCUCACUGCAACCUCUGCCUCCCACGUUCAAGCCAUUCUCCUGCCUCAGUCUCCCGAGUAGCUGGGAUGACAGUCACCCGCCACCACGCCCAGCUAAUUUUUUGUAUUUUUAGGAGAGAUGGGGUUUCACUAUGUUGUCCAGGCUGGUCUCGAACUCCUGACCUAAUGAUCCGCCCACCUCAGCCUCUCAAAGUGCUGGGAUUACAUGCGUGAGCCAUCGCACCCAGCCUUAAAUUUGUAUUUUAACUUAGCAUGACAUUAGAUAGCAAAUAAAAAUACCAUGACAAGUCAAGUGAGAGAGAACACAGAAGAAAGGAAAACGCCGUAUCUUUGAGCCCCUUCAAUGACGCUUCUUCCUGCUCUUUGAACAGAAGCGCUGCGUUUUCAUUUUGCCCUGGGCCUCAUGUUACGUAGCUGGUCCUGGUGUUAGGUACCCGGACGCACCACAAACGAAACAGAUUCGUUCCCCGCAGAGCUUAUUAGUCUAGUGAGAGAAACAUAAUUUGAAUAGUCCCAGAAAUACAUCAUUAUAAGAUAAGUCUAUGAAAGAAGCGUAGAGCAUUCCUAAUCUUGUCUCUGAACAGGGCAGACUUCUUGGAGGAAGUGAAAUUUGAACUGCGAUGUGAAGAAUGAGCAGGAGUUAGUGAGGUGAAGAAGAGAGAAGGAGUGUUGCAAACACAGGUCAGUCUGUGCAAAGGCCCUGAGACACAAGGAGCCUAGAACCACGGCUCGAAGACAACCAUCUGGCUGGGGCAUGGCUCGUCUUACAGAUCACAUUAAGGAACAAAUAAUUAUGUUAAGAGUUAUGGGCUGCCAUUAAGGAUUUGGAUAAGAGAGUCUUACAAUCACAUCUGUGUUUUCUAAAGGCCUGACACUGAUUGGUACAUGGAGUACAGCCUGAAGGGAACAAGACUUGUUAGAAAGGAAGCUAUUGACUGGGUGUGGUGGCUCGUGCCUAUAAUCCCAGCACUUUGGGAGGCUGAGGUGGGCAGAUUACUUGAGGCCAGGAGUUCGAGAUCAGCCUGGCCAACACGGUGAAACCCCGUCUCUACUAAAAAUACAAAAAUUAGCAGGUUGUGGUGGUGAGCACCUAUAAUCCCAGCUGCUUGGGAGGCUGAGGCAGGACAAUUGCUUGAACCUGGGAGGCUGAGGUUGCAGUGAGCCCAGACUGCGCCACUGCACUCCAGCCUGGGUGACAGAGACUUCCUUUCCAAAAUAAAAAAAAAAAAAAAGAAAGAAGAAAGAAAGAAAGGAGGCUAUUGCAGUAAUGCAAGUGAGAGACCAUGGUGGCUUAGGCAAUGGUGGAGAUGGAGGAAUUUGGGGGAAUUGAUUGGGUUCAAGAAAUAGGCAGGAGGAAACACGAUGGAUUGGGUGGGAGUAGGGAAACAGAUGAGAAGAGGUAUCAGGAAAGCUGCCUAGGUUUCUGGUCUGUGCCACUGUGUGGAUGAUGAGAGAAUGUGUCAGUGGUGGAGGCCAAGGUCUGAAAGUGGAGUGGGGAAGAGUGAGAGAGAAAAUUGUAAGUUUACCUUUAUGUUCAGCUGAGGUCAUUUUGAAACAUACAAGCAGCAGUAUGAAGAAUUCCAUUGAUAUAUUUGUCCGGAGCCCAGAGUGAGGUUUAAAUAAGAAGAAAUAAACUCGCUAGUAAAAAUUGCAGACACACAAAAGGCUUGAACAGGCACUUCACAAAAUAGAUUAUCCAAAUGACCAAUAAAUACAUAAGUACUCAACAUCAUUAGCCAUUAGAAAAAUGCAAGUUAAAACCACAAUGAGAUACCAUUUCACACUAGAAUGAAUAAAAUAUUAAAAGACUGACAAUGCUAAAUAUUCCCAGGAUGCAGAACAACCAAAACCCUCAUAUAUUAUGGGGGACAUGGAAAAUUGUACAACUCCUUUGGAAAACAGGUAGUUUCUACAGAAUUUCAAUAUAUACAUACCAUACAACUCAGCCAUUGCAUUCCUAUUUACCCAACAGAUAUAAAAUCAUUUGUCUACUGAAAAAUUUGCAAAAUAAUGUUCAUUGCGGCUGUAGCCAUUAUAACCCUCAAACGGAAACAACCCAAUGUGCAUGGAUUGUGAAUAGAUGACAAAUGGUGGUCCAUCUAUACAAUGGAAUAUUGCUCUUCAACAGAAACAAACUACAGGUCCAUGUAACAACAUGAUGAUUGAAAGAAGUCAGAUGUAAAAAAGUACAUAUGUAUGAUGCAAUUUAUACGAAACUCUAGGCAAAACUAAUCCUUAGUGAUGAAAUCAGAUCUGAGGUUGCCUGGGGCAGAGAUGGGGGUAGCUGACUGCAAGGAGGUGUGGGGAGGGUUGUGAAUUUUGGGGAGUGAUGGAGCUGCUCUGUAUCUCAAUUGUGAUGUGGUUACACAACUGUAUGCAUUUGUCAAAACUCACAGAACUACACUCUAAAACAUAUAAAUUUUACUGCAU
Molecule: long non-coding RNA, 3289 nt
Filed under: Homo sapiens (human)
Lineage: Eukaryota; Metazoa; Chordata; Mammalia; Primates; Hominidae
Description: HSALNT0305241
Source: RNAcentral